Molecule: ribosomal RNA, 471 nt
Filed under: Triticum aestivum (bread wheat)
Lineage: Eukaryota; Viridiplantae; Streptophyta; Magnoliopsida; Poales; Poaceae
Description: partial small subunit ribosomal RNA
Source: RNAcentral
AUGGCCAAGGGCAAGUUCAAGGGCAAGCCCACCGGGCAGCGCACCUUCUCCUCCAAGGAGGAGCUCGAGGCUGGUACUUCAGCAGAUCGUCCAAAGACCUUUUCUAAGAAGAAGCAAGAGGUAUCUAACAGAAGGGAAGAGUCAAUUGAGGAGGAAAGUGAUGAAGAGGUUGAGAAGACCAAACACAAAGGAACUGCAGGUCUCAUCGAGAUUGACAAUCCAAACCUGGCGAAACCAAAGAGUAUUAAAGCCAAGGAUGUUGAUGUUGAUAGGACAACUGAUCUCUCCAGGCGUGAAAGGGAGGAGCUUGAGAAGCAGAGAGCUCGAGCUCACUAUAUGAGACUUCAGGAGGAAGGAAAGACAGAACAGGCUAGGAAAGACCUAGAUCGCCUUACCUUGAUCCGGCGGCAGAGGGAGGAAGCUGCAAAGAAGCGCGAAGAGGAAAAAGCUGGCAAGCAUACUAGAAGAUAA